This 387-nucleotide ribosomal RNA is filed under the name uncultured bacterium. Its description in RNAcentral is "bacterial SSU rRNA". It matches the Rfam family "Bacterial small subunit ribosomal RNA", at positions 28 to 417 of the family's 1533-position model. The record is from RNAcentral.
GACGAACGCUGGCGGCGUGCUUAACACAUGCAAGUCGAGCGGUAAGGCCCUUUCGGGGGUACACGAGCGGCGAACGGGUGAGUAACACAUGGGUGACCUGCCCUCAGCUCUGGGAUAAGCCUGGGAAACCGGGUCUAAUACCGGAUAUGACUCCAUGACGCAUGUUGUGGGGUGGAAAGCCUUGUGCGGCUGAGGAUGGGCCCGCGGCCUAUCAGCUUGUUGGUGGGGGAUGGCCUACCAAGGCGACGACGGGUAGCCGGCCUGAGAGGGCGACCGGCCACACUGGGACUGAGACACGGCCCAGACUCCUACGGGAGGCAGCAGUGGGGAAUCUUGCGCAAUGGGCGAAAGCCUGACGCAGCGACGCCGCGUGAGGGAUGACGGCCU